UGAGGAAUAUUGGUCAAUGGACGGAAGUCUGAACCAGCCAAGUAGCGUGCAGGAUGACGGCCCUAUGGGUUGUAAACUGCUUUUGUAUGGGGAUAAAGUUAGGGACGUGUCCCUAUUUGCAGGUACCAUACGAAUAAGGACCGGCUAAUUCCGUGCCAGCAGCCGCGGUAAUACGGAAGGUCCAGGCGUUAUCCGGAUUUAUUGGGUUUAAAGGGAGCGUAGGCUGGAGAUUAAGUGUGUUGUGAAAUGUAGACGCUCAACGUCUGAAUUGCAGCGCAUACUGGUUUCCUUGAGUACGCACAACGUUGGCGGAAUUCGUCGUGUAGCGGUGAAAUGCUUAGAUAUGACGAAGAACUCCGAUUGCGAAGGCAGCUGACGGGAGCGCAACUGACGCUUAAGCUCGAAGGUGCGGGUAUCAAACAGGAUUAGAUACCCUGGUAGUCCGCACAGUAAACGAUGGAUGCCCGCUGUUGGUACCUGGUAUCAGCGGCUAAGCGAAAGCAUUAAGCAUCCCACCUGGGGAGUACGCCGGCNACGGU
RNAcentral lists this ribosomal RNA (539 nucleotides) under uncultured bacterium. Its description in RNAcentral is "bacterial SSU rRNA". It matches the Rfam family "Bacterial small subunit ribosomal RNA", at positions 355 to 895 of the family's 1533-position model. The record is from RNAcentral.